RNAcentral lists this ribosomal RNA (404 nucleotides) under uncultured bacterium. RNAcentral describes it as "bacterial SSU rRNA". It matches the Rfam family "Bacterial small subunit ribosomal RNA", at positions 355 to 774 of the family's 1533-position model. The record is from RNAcentral.
UGGGGAAUCUUGCACAAUGGAGGAAACUCUGAUGCAGCGACGCCGCGUGAGCGAUGAAGCCCUUCGGGUGUGAAAGCUCUUUCGGCAGGAACGAUAAUGACGGUACCUGAAGAAGAAGCUGCGGCUAACUACGUGCCAGCAGCCGCGGUAAUACGUAGGCAGCAAGCGUUGUUCGGAAUUACUGGGCGUAAAGAGUGUGUAGGCGGUGCUCUAAGUUCGGUGUGAAAUCUCCCGGCUCAACUGGGAGGGUGCGCCGAAAACUGGAAUGCUUGAACAUGGGAGAGGAAAGCGGAAUUCCUGGUGUAGCGGUGAAAUGCGUAGAUAUCAGGAGGAACACCUGCGGUUGUUAGACGGCUUUCUGGACCAUUGUUGACGCUGAGACACGAAAGCGUGGGUAGCAAACA